UCUACCCCUUGGCCUACAUUUUCUCCUUGC
This 30-nucleotide non-coding RNA is filed under the name Homo sapiens (human). The record is from RNAcentral. Lineage: Eukaryota; Metazoa; Chordata; Mammalia; Primates; Hominidae.